CCUACGGGUGGCAGCAGUAGGGAAUAUUGCUCAAUGGGGGAAACCCUGAAGCAGCAACGCCGCGUGGAGGAUGAAGGUUUUAGGAUUGUAAACUCCUUUUGUGAGAGAAGAUAAUGACGGUAUCUCACGAAUAAGCACCGGCUAACUCCGUGCCAGCAGCCGCGGUAAUACGGAGGGUGCAAGCGUUACUCGGAAUGACUGGGCGUAAAGGGUGCGCAGGCGGGCUUGUAAGUCAGUUGUGAAAUCCUGUAGCUUAACUACAGAACUGCAAUUGAAACUGUGAGGCUAGAGUACGGGAGAGGUAGGUGGAAUUCGUGGUGUAGCGGUAAAAUGCGUAGAUAUCAAGAGGAAUACUCAUUGCGAAGGCGACCUACUGGAACACUACUGACGCUGAUGCACGAAAGCGUGGGGAGCAAACAGGAUUAGAUACCCGAGUAGUC
This 440-nucleotide ribosomal RNA is filed under the name uncultured bacterium. RNAcentral describes it as "partial 16S ribosomal RNA". It matches the Rfam family "Bacterial small subunit ribosomal RNA", at positions 338 to 795 of the family's 1533-position model. The record is from RNAcentral.